UCUCCGUUGGUGAACCAGCGGAGGGAUCAUUAUCGAGUUUACAACUCCCAAACCCUCUGUGAACCUUACCUAUCGUUGCUUCGGCGGUACCGCCCCGGCGCCUCUGUGCGCGGCUCUAGGCGCCCGCCGGAGACCACAAGCUCUUACGUUUUUGGAUAGCGGCAUUAUCUGUGUAUCAUUAAACAAAUGAAUCAAAACUUUCAACAACGGAUCACUUGGUUCUG
Molecule: unclassified non-coding RNA, 224 nt
Filed under: plant metagenome
Description: partial contains small subunit ribosomal RNA, internal transcribed spacer 1, and 5.8S ribosomal RNA
Source: RNAcentral